ACACGUGGUCCAGGAGCAUAGCCCCAGCAUCCCUGGAGGCCUGGUGGGAAAUUCUGGGCCCACAGCUGUGGGAUUGAGAAUCUGCAUUUUAACAAGCUCCCUUGGGGAUUCCUCUGAAGCCAGCCCCUGGCUUCUAUUCCAGAGGCUCCGUUGGUAUGUGUGGCAUUAGAGACUUAAGAGAGCCAGCAAUCACAGGUGCCAGGCAACAUUGGGGAGAGAGCUUAACUUGUUUUCACUUAACUGAUCUUCUCUGGGGGUGGGGAGGAGUCCCUGUUGCCAUGGUGGUUUCAAAGAUGAAGAAACACAGGAGUUACUGGACUGGCCAGAGCUAAAAUGCUAACCUUCAACUUUUCUUUCAGGGGUUCUGAGGAGUGAGCCUACCCAUUAAAAUUUUUGCAUUAAAGUGUUUGCAUGGCAAACACCACUCACUCACUACUCAGGAUCUGACAGCCACCCUAUGCUGCCUGUUUGGCUUCGGACCCCAGGACAAGGAACUGAGCAACUUCCUUGGGCUCCUUCCUUGUGGCCAGUGAAAUCGCCUGAGAACCGCUUCCCAAUAAACCUGCGUUUAAUAUAAUCU
Molecule: long non-coding RNA, 580 nt
Filed under: Rattus norvegicus (Norway rat)
Lineage: Eukaryota; Metazoa; Chordata; Mammalia; Rodentia; Muridae
Description: long non-coding RNA NONRATT029147
Source: RNAcentral